GGCGAACGGGUGAGGAACACGUGAAGAAUCUGCCUUCAACUCUGGGAUAACACCGGGAAACCGGUGCUAAUACCUGAUAUGAGCCUUGGCCGCAUGGCCGGGGCUGGAAAGUUUUUCGGUUGAAGAUGACUUCGCGGCCUAUCAGCUUGUUGGUGAGGUAACGGCUCACCAAGGCGACGACGGGUAGCCGGCCUGAGAGGAUGAUCAGCCACACUGGGACUGAGACACGGCCCAGACUCCUACGGGAGGCAGCAGUGGGGAAUCUUGCGCAAUGGGCGAAAGCCUGACGCAGCAACGCCGCGUGCGGGAUGAAGGCCUUCGGGUUGUAAACCGCUUUCAGUAGGGAAGAAGCGAAAGUGACGGUACCUACAGAAGAAGCACCGGCUAACUAUGUGCCAGCAGCCGCGGUAAUACAUAGGGUGCAAGCGUUGUCCGGAAUUAUUGGGCGUAAAGAGCUCGUAGGUGGUUCGUUACGUCGGAUGUGAAAAUCUGGGGCUCAACCCCAGACCUGCAUCCGAUACGGUCGAGCUAGAGUUUGGUAGGGGAGACUGGAAUUCCUGGUGUAGCGGUGGAAUGCGCAGAUAUCAGGAGGAACACCAAUGGCGAAGGCAGGUCUCUGGGCCAAUACUGACACUGAGGAGCGAAAGCGUGGGGAGCGAACAGGAUUAGAUACCCUGGUAGUCCACGCCGUAAACGGUGGGCGCUAGUUGUG
Molecule: ribosomal RNA, 712 nt
Filed under: uncultured bacterium
Lineage: Bacteria
Description: bacterial SSU rRNA
Rfam family: Bacterial small subunit ribosomal RNA
Source: RNAcentral